UACGUAGGCAGCGAGCGUUGUUCGGAGUUACUGGGCGUAAAGGGUGUGUAGGCGGUUGUUUAAGUUUGGUGUGAAAUCUCCCGGCUCAACCGGGAGGGUGCGCCGAAUACUGAAUGACUUGGAGUGCGGGAGAGGAAAGUGGAAUUCCUGGUGUAGCGGUGAAAUGCGUAGAUAUCAGGAGGAACACCGGUGGUGUAGACGGCUUUCUGGACCGUAACUGACGCUGAGACACGAAAGCGUGGGUAGCAAACAGG
RNAcentral lists this ribosomal RNA (254 nucleotides) under uncultured bacterium. RNAcentral's name for it is "partial 16S ribosomal RNA". It matches the Rfam family "Bacterial small subunit ribosomal RNA", at positions 524 to 776 of the family's 1533-position model. The record is from RNAcentral.